GGGGGUAUAGCUCAAUGGCAAGAGUUCAUGCUUAACAAGCCUGAGGUCCUAGGCUCAAUUCCCAGGACCCCAA
This 73-nucleotide transfer RNA is filed under the name Heterocephalus glaber (naked mole-rat). It matches the Rfam family "tRNA". From Rfam's summary of the family: Transfer RNA (tRNA) molecules are approximately 80 nucleotides in length. Lineage: Eukaryota; Metazoa; Chordata; Mammalia; Rodentia; Bathyergidae. The record is from Rfam by way of RNAcentral.